CCUACGGGUGGCAGCAGUGAGGAAUAUUGGUCAAUGGACGAGAGUCUGAACCAGCCAAGUAGCGUGAAGGAUGACUGCCCUAUGGGUUGUAAACUUCUUUUAUAUGGGAAUAAAAUGUUCCACGUGUGGGAUUUUGUAUGUACCAUAUGAAUAAGGAUCGGCUAACUCCGUGCCAGCAGCCGCGGUAAUACGGAGGAUACGAGCGUUAUCCGGAUUUAUUGGGUUUAAAGGGAGCGUAGGUGGAUUGUUAAGUCAGUUGUGAAAGUUUGCGGCUCAACCGUAAAAUUGCAGUUGAAACUGGCAGUCUUGAGUACAGUAGAGGUGGGCGGAAUUCGUGGUGUAGCGGUGAAAUGCUGAGAUAUCACGAAGAACUCCGAUUGCGAAGGCAGUUCACUGGACUGCAACUGACACUGAGGCUCGAAAGUGUGGGUAUCAAACAGGAUUAGAUACCCCAGUAGUC
Molecule: ribosomal RNA, 460 nt
Filed under: uncultured bacterium
Lineage: Bacteria
Description: partial 16S ribosomal RNA
Rfam family: Bacterial small subunit ribosomal RNA
Source: RNAcentral